GACGAACGCUGGCGGCGUGCUUAACACAUGCAAGUCGAACGGAAAGGCCCUGCCUUUGUGGGGUGCUCGAGUGGCGAACGGGUGAGUAACACGUGAGUAACCUGCCCUUGACUUUGGGAUAACUUCAGGAAACUGGGGCUAAUACCGGAUAGGAGCUCCUGCUGCAUGGUGGGGGUUGGAAAGGUUCGGCGGUUGGGGAUGGACUGGCGGCUUAUUAGCUUGUUGGUGGGGUAGUGGCUUACCAAGGCUUUGACGGGUAGCCGGCCUGAGAGGGUGACCGGCCACAUUGGGACUGAGAUACGGCCCAGACUCCUACGGGAGGCAGCAGUGGGGAAUAUUGCACAAUGGGCGGAAGCCUGAUGCAGCAACGCCGCGUGCGGGAUGACGGCCUUCGGGUUGUAAACCGCUUUCGCCUGUGACGAAGCGUGAGUGACGGUAAUGUGUAAAGAAGCACCGGCUAACUACGUG
This 468-nucleotide ribosomal RNA is filed under the name uncultured bacterium. RNAcentral describes it as "partial 16S ribosomal RNA". It matches the Rfam family "Bacterial small subunit ribosomal RNA", at positions 28 to 507 of the family's 1533-position model. The record is from RNAcentral.